RNAcentral lists this long non-coding RNA (392 nucleotides) under Linum usitatissimum (flax). Its description in RNAcentral is "long non-coding RNA (LUSI_LNC001408)". The record is from RNAcentral. Lineage: Eukaryota; Viridiplantae; Streptophyta; Magnoliopsida; Malpighiales; Linaceae.
CUCUCUUUGUCAAUCAUAAUUAGCUCAUUUAGGUCUCAGGAGAGAGGAAAACAAUAAUGAUGACAGCUAAUGGUGACAUAAUAUUAAAGAAAUUACAGUAGUCUAGUAGUAGUAGGCGGAGGAGGAGCAUUAAAAUGAGACAAAUGGGUAAAGCAUGGAAACAAACAGUAGAGAAGGAGAAAUAGCUACAUGGGGGCUGCUUAGAAUCACAGCCACUGCUAACUAACGACAGUUCUUUUCCCAAAAGAAAAAAUAUCACUGCUUUCUGAUAUUCAGAAUUAGGAGGAGGAACACAUUUGACACGAAAUUCCCAAGUUGUUUAGAAGCUAUACUGAACAAAGUAUAGAAAUGCGACGCCCUCCAAACAGUAAAUAGAAAGCCAGCCAGAAAGA